GACCUAGUCGUGGAGAGCACACGAGUGAGAAUGCAGGCAUGAGUAGCGAAAGACGGGUGAGAAACCCGUCCGCCGAAUAUCCAAGGGUUCCAGGGUCAAGCUAAUCUGCCCUGGGUAAGUCGGGACCUAAGGCGAGGCCGACAGGCGUAGUCGAUGGACAACGGGUUGAUAUUCCCGUACCGGCGAAAUAUCGUCCGUGCUGAAUCGAGUGAUGCUGAGCAUGCGAGGUCUGGUGAUGUCUUCGGAUUGAUCCUGGCUGAGUCUGUGACCCAAUCUCGUAUUAGGCAAGCUGCGGAGGGACGCAGGAAGGUAGCUCUUCUCGGUUAUGGUUAUACCGGGUCAAGUGUGUAGGGUGGAGUGUAGGUAAAUCCGCGCUCUGUGUGCCUGAGACAUGAUGUGUCGUCAGAUUACUGACGUUAGAGUGAUCCUAUGCUGCCUAGAAAAGCUUCGUUAGCGAGAUAUUAGCCGCCCGUACCCCAAACCGACACAGGUGGAUAGGUAGAGAAUACUAAGGCGAUCGAGAGAAUCGUGGUGAAGGAACUCGGCAAAAUACCCCCGUAACUUCGGGAUAAGGGGGACCUGAUACGUAUAGCAUUUACUGUGAAAGCGUUGAGGGUCGCAGAGACCAGGCCCAAGCGACUGUUUACUAAAAACACAGGUCCGUGCUAAGUCGUAAGACGAUGUAUACGGACUGACUCCUGCCCGGUGCUGGAAGGUUAAGGGGAAGGGUUAGUUUCGGCGAAGCCUUGAACUUAAGCCCCAGUAAACGGCGGUGGUAACUAUAACCAUCCUAAGGUAGCGAAAUUCCUUGUCGGGUAAGUUCCGACCUGCACGAAUGGAGUAACGAUUUGGGCGCUGUCUCCACCACGAACUCGGCGAAAUUGCAUUACGAGUAAAGAUGCUCGUUACGCGCAGCAGGACGGAAAGACCCCGGGACCUUUACUAUAGUUUGGUAUUGGUGAUCGGUGUGACUUGUGUAGGAUAGGUGGGAGACUUUGAAGCUUGGACGCCAGUUCAGGUGGAGUCAUCGUUGAAAUACCACUCUGGUCACUCUGGUUAUCUAACUUAGGUCCAUUAUCUGGAUCAGGGACAGUGCCUGAUGGGUAGUUUGACUGGGGCGGUCGCCUCCUAAA
This is a ribosomal RNA of Tessaracoccus bendigoensis DSM 12906, 1133 nucleotides long. It matches the Rfam family "Bacterial large subunit ribosomal RNA", at positions 1264 to 2294 of the family's 2925-position model. The record is from Rfam. NCBI's taxonomy places the organism in Bacteria, Bacillati, Actinomycetota, Actinomycetes, Propionibacteriales, Propionibacteriaceae.